This 139-nucleotide ribosomal RNA is filed under the name uncultured bacterium. RNAcentral describes it as "partial 16S rRNA". It matches the Rfam family "Bacterial small subunit ribosomal RNA", at positions 355 to 511 of the family's 1533-position model. The record is from RNAcentral.
UGGGGAAUAUUGGACAAUGGGGGCAACCCUGAUCCAGCAAUGCCGCGUGUGUGAAGAAGGUUUUCGGAUUGUAAAGCACUUUCGACGGGGACGAUGAUGACGGUACCCGUAGAAGAAGCCCCGGCUAACUUCGUGCCAG